Long non-coding RNA from Aedes albopictus (Asian tiger mosquito), 1603 nucleotides. RefSeq lists it as uncharacterized. Lineage: Eukaryota; Metazoa; Arthropoda; Insecta; Diptera; Culicidae. The record is from RefSeq and is a predicted model, not a curated record. The transcript is spliced from 2 exons.
UUUUGCGGAGACUCAGUGCAUAGUGAAUAGAGAAGAACCAGCCAAGGGCUGAAAGUCUCUCUAAUAAAGACAAAUCAAUCAAAUGCAUAGUGGAUCAAAUAAUUAAGGUAAGAAUCGUGUUUUCACAAAAAAAAGUUAUAAGUAGUUUCUGAAAAAUAUAAAUAAAUGGUAUUAAAGUUCUUUUUUUUCUGUUGUUGCAGGUUCAAGAAUAACAAUUACUAAAUGUUAGUAAUGAGGAUGAUAAGCUACCCUAUUCGUCCGGCAAAGCAAUGCCAAAUUUCCGACGAGACCGGAGGUGAGAGUUUUCCAAGAUGGCGUCCUUCAGCCACAUGUGGAGGUUAUGUUUGCUGACUCAUCAAAAAAUUGCAAUGGCGUAUGGGCAUGCGCUCGGCCAUGCUCUGUGAGAAAAAAGUUCCUAACCUCAAACACGCCAACCGGAGCAGUGGAUUCAUAUGAAUUCCAUCACAUUUAUUCUUUUCUCAACGCAAGAUUACCACCAUCGUAAGUUCUUUUUAAGUUCUAUUUCUAUUAUUUUUGCGAAGGCUUGAUGCCACCACUGGAGUUUCUCUAUAUAUUUCUAUUUACAAUUCGUAUCAGACAGAAUAUCAACCACUAUAAUUUCUCUAUAUAUUUCUAUUUACAAUUCGUAUACGGAAGUCAAGAACCACCUCUGUUAUUUCUUUUUAAGUUCUAUUUCUAUUAUUUUUACGAACCAAGAUGAAACAUCAAAGCCACAGUAAUUUCUCAAUAUUUUCUAUUUCCUAUUCGUAUCAGAAAAAAAAUCAACCACUUGAAUUUCUCAAUAUUUUCUAUUUCCUAUUCGUAUGAGAACGAGAUCCAACCACUCGAAUUUCUCAAUAUUUUCUAUUUCCUAUUCGUAUGAGAAUCAACCAACCACUCGAAUUUCUCAAUAUUUUCUAUUUCCUAUUCGUAUGAGAACGAGAUCCAACCACUUGAGUUUCUCAAUAUUUUCUAUUUCCUAUUCGUAUGAGAAUUUUAAAGAUACACCAACUAGACUGUAAUUUCUUUCAAAUUCUAUUUCAAUUUUUUUUCAAAACAGAUUAAGAUCCAACCUUUCUGUGAUUUCUUUCAAAUUCUAUUUCAAUUUUUUUUUACAAACAGUGAAAGAUCCAACCUUUCUGUGAUUUCUUUCAAAUUCUAUUUCAAUUUUUUUUGAACAGAUAAAGAACCAACUUAUCUGCAAUUUCUUUCAAAUUCUAUUUCAAUUUUUUUUGCGGAAAUGUUUAUGUCUAAUACUGCAAAUCGAGGGUUUUGCAUGUAUACAAAUAAAAAAAAAACACAAUGUUGUUCACUCUUUGACAGUCACACGCAAGUUGAAAAAAAAAAAAGAUUUUUCUAGCAAAAUGAGACAUACGACUUACAAUUUGCAAAUUGAUUGAAAUUAUCAGUUCUGCUUAGCAGUCGUCAUCAUAUGACCAAAGGUCGCAUGAGUGCGGAAAGUUGUAGAAAAGUUUUUAGAAGAAGUCGUCAUCAUAUGACCAAAGGUCGCAUGAGUGCGUAAAAUUAAAAAAAAAAAAGUUUCUCAUAGAAGUCGUCAUCAUAUGACCAAAGGUCGCAUGAGUGCGUAAAAUUGAAAAAUAAA